Hyaena hyaena (striped hyena) is the source of this 396-nucleotide long non-coding RNA. RefSeq lists it as uncharacterized. The transcript is spliced from 3 exons. Lineage: Eukaryota; Metazoa; Chordata; Mammalia; Carnivora; Hyaenidae. The record is from RefSeq and is a predicted model, not a curated record.
CAAAUGACAUAUCUGAUAAAGGACAGACAUGGAAUAAAUGGUACUGCCAGGACAUCCUCCAAAAAGAGACAUCUGAGAUCACUGCUUGCUGGAGAAUCCAGGGACCCCAUCAGGUCAGCUAGAAGAAACUUGAAUGGUAAAGGAAACAUUCUGUGCACCACUGUUGGCAUAGUCAGAAGGAUAGACUUUAACUGGCUGGGUACCCUUGUGGCUGAGAGAUUCUGGGAGUUCUGACAAAUGUACAGCAGAAGGUUAGAAUGCUUACCAUGUCAGCCUAUGGAUCUAAUGGAAGCAAGAGUGGUGAGAGUCCUUUUUCUCUCACUUACUGAAUUUAGAUCAGCAAGAGAAAAUACUUGUGGAAAUAGUUCCUUGGGCUUAGUGACUCUGGAAUAUUUG